GAUGAACGCUGGCGGCGUGCCUAAUACAUGCAAGUCGAGCGAACGGACGAGAAGCUUGCUUCUCUGAUGUUAGCGGCGGACGGGUGAGUAACACGUGGAUAACCUACCUAUAAGACUGGGAUAACUUCGGGAAACCGGAGCUAAUACCGGAUAAUAUUUUGAACCUCAUGGUUCAAAAGUGAAAGACGGUCUUGCUGUCACUUAUAGAUGGAUCCGCGCUGCAUUAGCUAGUUGGUAAGGUAACGGCUUACCAAGGCAACGAUGCAUAGCCGACCUGAGAGGGUGAUCGGCCACACUGGAACUGAGACACGGUCCAGACUCCUACGGGAGGCAGCAGUAGGGAAUCUUCCGCAAUGGGCGAAAGCCUGACGGAGCAACGCCGCGUGAGUGAUGAAGGUCUUCGGAUCGUAAAACUCUGUUAUUAGGGAAGAACAUAUGUGUAAGUAACUGUGCACAUCUGGACGGUACCUAAUCAGAAAGCCACGGCGAACUACGU
Molecule: ribosomal RNA, 496 nt
Filed under: uncultured bacterium
Lineage: Bacteria
Description: partial 16S ribosomal RNA
Rfam family: Bacterial small subunit ribosomal RNA
Source: RNAcentral